Molecule: small RNA, 104 nt
Filed under: Salmonella enterica
Lineage: Bacteria; Pseudomonadati; Pseudomonadota; Gammaproteobacteria; Enterobacterales; Enterobacteriaceae
Also listed under: 1 other name
Description: partial RtT sRNA
Rfam family: RtT RNA
About the family: This family represents a bacterial cis-regulatory element known as RtT RNA.
Source: RNAcentral
UCCGGGGGCAAGAGGUUCGACUCGAGCGCAGCGAGAGAACGUUGCGUCAGCAACGGCCCGCAGGGCGAGCCACGCAGUGGCGAGUCAUCCUCUAUCACCGACCA